GAUGAAGAACGUAGCGAAAUGCGAUACUUGGUGUGAAUUGCAGAAUCCCGUGAACCAUCGAGUCUUUGAACGCAAGUUGCGCCCAAAGCCAUUAGGCCGAGGGCACGCCUGCCUGGGCGUCACACGUCGUUGCCCCCCCAUCUACUCCUUCGGGAUUGCGGGGGGCGGAUGAUGGCCUCCCGUGCGCCUCGUCGCGCGGUUGGCCUAAAUGCCAAGUCCUCGGCGACGCACGCCACGACAAUCGGUGGUUGCGAAACCUCGGUUGCCCGUCGUGUGCGGUCGUCGCGCAUCGAGGGCUCGAAAAAAUUGCCGGGCUUCGGCUCGACUUUCAACGCGACCCCAGGUCAGGCGGGGUUACCCGCUGAAUUUAAGCAUAUCAAUAAGCGGAGGA
This 391-nucleotide unclassified non-coding RNA is filed under the name soil metagenome. RNAcentral's name for it is "partial contains 5.8S ribosomal RNA, internal transcribed spacer 2, and large subunit ribosomal RNA". The stretch from base 1 to 122 matches the Rfam family "5.8S ribosomal RNA", at positions 35 to 154 of the family's 154-position model. The record is from RNAcentral.